Molecule: unclassified non-coding RNA, 232 nt
Filed under: Hevea brasiliensis (rubber tree)
Lineage: Eukaryota; Viridiplantae; Streptophyta; Magnoliopsida; Malpighiales; Euphorbiaceae
Source: RNAcentral
AGCUUCAAGUGGAUCAAGAGCAAGCUCGUUGAUGACUAUUUUGAUGCGUGAUCUUCUUCUUCUUCUGCUUUUUUAAUUUAAUUUGUCAUCAUGCUUUUGGUUAUAAUUUGGAUGCUUAAAUUAAUAUAAAUCAAAUCAAAGUUAAUUUGUAAUUGUGAUGUUUAUUGUAUAUUAUGUACAAGCAAAGGAUCAUCUUUAAAUUUUAUGAGUAUAAUAUGUUAAAUUUAAUUUA